AGGGGUAGACGGGUCUGCGUGACGUGAAGUUGCGGCGUCGUCGGUCGAACUAGGCCGUGCGACACUCGGCCGACGGGCCGCUCGCGGCAAGAUGGCCGCGAACCGGCGGCGGGCGGUGCAACGGCGGGCCGGAGUGGUGAUGGGAGUAGAGCGGGGAGGCAGUAGUAAGGAGGUCGUGACGAUAUUAAGAAAGUUCUCUGUAGGCGGUAGUAGUUGUGGUGGCCGCUCCGGUCUAUCUGGUGGUCGCAUAUUCGGGUCGCGGUGGGUGUCAACCAGGUGUGACAGGCUCGUCGUCAGCUCCCCCUCUCUUGUCUAGGUCCGCGGUGGUACGGGAGGCGCAGGAGGAGGAGCCGGACGCGGCGCCGGCGACGGCAGCCGCUACGGCGGCACAGGAUGCUGGUGUUCCGGCACCAGCAGUUGCCCGUCGCGGCUUGCUGCGGAGCCGGAAGCGGAGACGUGUAGAACUCCAGGUGGACCGUGUAGAGACAACGUAGUGUGAUCGUCCGGCGACGGAGCAGGCCGUAGGAGACGAAGCCGAGCAGAAGGGGGUGGGGAAGGGAAUGAGACAGCACAUAAGAAAACGAGGUAGAAGGAAGAACACCCUAAUUAAGGAAGAAAGACAAGGGGAGGAUAACAGCAACUAAAGAAGAUUACCCCGUUUUAGCGGGUACAUAUAUUUAACUAACCUAAGAUACGUUUCCUCGCUCCUGAUAAAUACUUAGGAUUAUUAGGAGUGUACCUUUCAUUAAAAACGACGAACCCGUCCGCCUCCUGCCGCGGCCGCUCGUCCGUCACCUUGUGCAGCUACGUCGGUACCACCUCCAGUACCCGCGGCUCGACGAAGUGGGCGGAGCUCGGCUGCGCUCGUUCUCACUUCUAUCGAGGCGUCGCCGCGGUACCGACGGCCGGUUGCUCGCGGGGUAGCGUCGACGACCGCCUGUUCGUGUCGCCUCGAGCCCACAACCCUACCUCUGCGUAGAUGUCCCCCGGCCACUGCGGCCUCCGCCUCCUCUCCGGCUCUCCGCUCUCCCGAUCCCUGCCUCCCCUCUCGGCCUGUCGGCUGCUCUCGGGUUAGCUUCGGUAGGGGGAAGGUGGAAGAGACGGUGACCAACCUGAUCGUCUCACAGGCACGCAAUGAUGUCCGAUGCUACGUAUAUUUACUUAACUUGUUUACUAAUCCGAGCCGAGGUUCAGGCUGCGAGUAAAGAGGGAGCAUGCGAUGGGGUUUAGGUCUGGUAUACACACUCUUCUUAUACCAACAGACGGUAUAAUAGAAGUUGUGUGACCGGGUUGUGUUUCUUUAUUGCUAGGGUGCUACCUG
RNAcentral lists this ribosomal RNA (1321 nucleotides) under Triticum aestivum (bread wheat). RNAcentral describes it as "partial small subunit ribosomal RNA". Lineage: Eukaryota; Viridiplantae; Streptophyta; Magnoliopsida; Poales; Poaceae. The record is from RNAcentral.